RNAcentral lists this long non-coding RNA (209 nucleotides) under Sorghum bicolor (sorghum). Its description in RNAcentral is "long non-coding RNA (SBIC_LNC004565)". The record is from RNAcentral. Lineage: Eukaryota; Viridiplantae; Streptophyta; Magnoliopsida; Poales; Poaceae.
UAGGCUGUGAUGAUUCCCAUGGUAAAAGGUCAGUUGCUAAAGGGAUUACAGACUCAUGGAUCGAUUUAGAAUUUUGGUUUUCCAUAAGGUAAGAAUAAAGAAAAAUAAAUAAAGAAUAUAUAAGAUAAGAAAAGAUAAAAGUAUAGAUACAAGCUAAUAGCAAGACAUAGGUUAUCUCAGCAACCGUCUUUCUCCCCGGCAACGGCGCC